CGCAGAGUAAGUGCGGCCGCGAGGGGCGGGACGCGGGCGAAGUGGGCGGGGUCAGAGGCGUAGCCUAGGUGGGCGGGGCCGUGGCGGGGCGAGGGGCGGGACUGGACCUGGUAGAGGACCGGGUGUACCGAGCCGAGGUCGGCGCGGGUGCAAGGGAGGGUCUGGACCUCCCGAGCGAGGAGCGGGGCAAGGGUGGGUGAGCUCUAGGCACUGGUCUGAUGCCUCUGAACCUGCCCGGAGCCUGAGGGCACCCGCCCGCGUCUCUACUCACGUGACGUUGGACUCAGUGACCUCGCUCCCUGGAGGCUUGGAGGUGCCCUAAGUGAUCUUUUGUAUAAAAAGAAGAGAAAAUGCCACACUGUAAAUUAUAUGAGGUUCACCAGGGACCAGAAAGCAACGAGAUCAUCAUCAUAAUAGUUAUCAUGCACAGGUAAUAUAUCUUAAUUAGACACAAGGCAAGAAAAUAUAAGGGAAGGUAAAGUCAUUAAAAUUUUUUACAUAUUACUUUUCUAGGGCUGCCAUAACAGAAUACCAUAAACUCAACACAAAUUUAUUGUCUGAGAGUUCUGGAGCCUGGAAAUCGGAGAUCAAGGUGUCAGCAGAGUUGGUUUCUGGUGAGCCUGUCUUCCUGGCUUGUAGAUAGCUCCCUUCCCACUGGGUCCUCACAUGGCCCUUCCUCUGUGUGCAGAGAGAGUUCUCUGGUGUCUCUUCUUCUUAUAGGACACCUAUUGGAUUAGGGCCCUACCCUUAUGACCUCCUACUUCCAAAUAUAGUCACGUUGGGGGUUAGGGCUUCAAUAUAUGAAUUUUGCAGGGGAUCCAAUCAGUUUAUAACACUCUGGUUUUGAUUGCAUUUUCUAAUAAAGAUCCAGCUGCCUUGGGCUCAGGGAACUGACUGUCUGAGAGAGCUGGCUUCUGGCUUUGGAUCAGGUCCUUCACUGGGGAAGACCUCCUGACCCUGACCACCUCUUUAUGGCAGAUUCCUAAAAAGUGAUGUGUCUUGCUUCACGCUCUUAGUCACCAAGUGCCCAUUGGAGAGAGCCUCUUCUUCCUUUGCCCCGUUGGCCAUGAGUAGUUAGGUAUCAGUUAUCAAUCCUCAUGGCUUCCUUCCCCCACUUCCUGCAGACCCUCUCAGGGCAUUGCCAUGCCUGGCUUAUUUCUCUUCGCUGCUUGCAUUAAAUACACAUUCUGACCAGAGGGCUCCAUGCUGAGCUUUAACACCAGCCCUAUGUUCAUGAGACAUGUCUGGUCACAAGUGAAGCUGGAGGAGUACAAG
Molecule: long non-coding RNA, 1275 nt
Filed under: Zalophus californianus (California sea lion)
Lineage: Eukaryota; Metazoa; Chordata; Mammalia; Carnivora; Otariidae
Description: lncRNA (ENSZCAG00015009923.1)
Source: RNAcentral